UAAGUCUUAGUGUAACUAAACACUUAAAGUUUACACCUUUACAAUGUCUUAGGACAGAUUUAU
This 63-nucleotide transfer RNA is filed under the name Brachionus plicatilis. RNAcentral describes it as "tRNA-Val". The record is from RNAcentral. Lineage: Eukaryota; Metazoa; Rotifera; Eurotatoria; Ploima; Brachionidae.